UACGGAGGGUGCAAGCGUUAUCCGGAUUUACUGGGUUUAAAGGGUGCGUAGGCGGACUUUUAAGUCAGUGGUGAAAGCUCCGAGCUUAACUCGGAAACUGCCAUUGAUACUAUUAGUCUUGAAUUCGGUCGAGGUUGGCGGAAUGUGUCGUGUAGCGGUGAAAUGCUUAGAUAUGACACAGAACACCGAUUGCGAAGGCAGCUAGCUAGACCGACAUUGACGCUGAGGCACGAAAGCGUGGGGAGCAAACAGG
This 253-nucleotide ribosomal RNA is filed under the name uncultured bacterium. RNAcentral's name for it is "partial 16S ribosomal RNA". It matches the Rfam family "Bacterial small subunit ribosomal RNA", at positions 524 to 776 of the family's 1533-position model. The record is from RNAcentral.